This 30-nucleotide non-coding RNA is filed under the name Mus musculus (house mouse). The record is from RNAcentral. Lineage: Eukaryota; Metazoa; Chordata; Mammalia; Rodentia; Muridae.
UUUGAAGAAUUAAAUGUGGGCUCUCAAAUG